Molecule: non-coding RNA, 24 nt
Filed under: Arabidopsis thaliana (thale cress)
Lineage: Eukaryota; Viridiplantae; Streptophyta; Magnoliopsida; Brassicales; Brassicaceae
Source: RNAcentral
UAGUCCACGCCACAAAUCAGCUGC